AAGAAAUGUUAUGAACUCUGAAUUUAAGCAUCAAGGGAGAGGGAGAGAAAGCAACAGGGAGUUUUCUGCCAGAUUCGAUCUGAUUUUACUUAUCUCUGAUGAUUUGGGACUUGUUAGAAAACAUGGUUGUGGUUGGUUAUCGGUGAACUGGAGGUGGCAGUCAUUUGAAUUUUCUGGAGGUAAAAAAUUCUAAUUAAUUUCUUGGAUUUGAGAUUUUAUUGAUAUACACGUUCAAUUGAUUGUGUUUAUUAAUAUUUAUAUUGUCAAAUUGAAAUAUUUAAAUAAAAAAAUAAGUUUGUGCGAAAUUGGCAAUUGGGUGUGAGCUAAAGUGGAUAGGAAAUCAUUUUGCCGAAAUAUAAAAAAGAUGAUAGGGUCAGGAAUGUAGCUCUGAACAUCUUCUUCAUUCCUUAGUUAUUUGUGGUCCCUCUCCACUUCCUUUUUUCAUGUUUAGAUAAUCACAUCUAACGUCCAAAGGUACUUUUUUUUUUUUUUUCUAUUACGAUAUUUUUUUAACAUAUGUGAUUCCUUUUUUGGAUUUAAAAUAUUUUAUUGGAUGUAAAAAAGUUAUCAAAAUAUAUGAAAUACUGUUUGGCCUUAACGUCCAAAACCGCUUUUUAUAUAUUUUAGUAGCUUUUUUAACACCUACAAAGUAUUUUAAGUCAAAAAUAAUAUUUAGAUUUCGGACUCGUUUUUUUUCAAGCAUACUUUUAUAAGUCAAACGACAAAAACAAUACUCUUUUAGGUCAAACUUAUACUUCACUCCAUGUUUGCAACUUUUAUUCGUUGAUUAGGUUUCUUAAAAACUUUCAACCUUUUGCAUUUUGUUAUUAUUUUGUUAAACACUAUGGUAAUCAAUGGUGAAACUAGAUAUUUUACAAAGAAUAUAGUUUACACUAAAUAAGGAUAACAAUUGAAUUUAUAUGUGAUUUUAAGAAUACGUAAUAUAACUUGGUACAAAUUAAGAAGAAUAAAUUAAUAUUGAAAUUGACGAUAAAAGAAUAAAUGCAAACCACACAGAUUAAAUAACCUUAGCCGUCGAGUUCAGUCACUCUUGAACCAAAAGGUAUUUUAACUGAAAUAUGAAAGAGUAACAAGAUAAUGAAAACUAGAAAAUGAUAGUAUAUUGCUUUAUGUUGCGUGAAUAUGACGUGUUUUAACAAUAACCAGACCUUAUUUAUAUAGUAUGAGCGUCCUACUCUUGACACAAUUCUAUACGAGGUAAGAAAUAUCAUGAUUAGCUAGUUAAUCGGCCUCUUCUUGAUAUGUACCAGGAUUUUUGCCGGAAUCCUCGCCCGUUGCGGAUAUUUUGGCUUUUCGUUAUCUAGCUUGGUAAGCUUCUCUGGAUCUUGCUCGAUCUCUAUCUUGCUUGGUCUCGAUCUUGAUCGGUCUCUAGGUCACGAGCUGGGCAUUAUAACUUUAUACCAUGGUUCGAUAUAACAUGAGAUUGAUCCUUGACCUAUCAUGUUCGAGUCUUGAUAAGUCAUACAAAGGGCAACCUCGAUUUUGACCGUAUAUAAAUAGUACGAUGACCCAAAAGUCCAUCUCGUAUUUUAGAACCCAAUUCGGGGGUUUGAGGCUUUUAAAACCUCAUCUUAUUUUUUCUCAAUUUAUGUGCAGAGUUCGGGCGUGUUUC
Molecule: long non-coding RNA, 1633 nt
Filed under: Nicotiana benthamiana
Lineage: Eukaryota; Viridiplantae; Streptophyta; Magnoliopsida; Solanales; Solanaceae
Description: long non-coding RNA (NBEN_LNC028370)
Source: RNAcentral